RNAcentral lists this transfer RNA (65 nucleotides) under Cucujoidea sp. 26 KM-2017. RNAcentral's name for it is "tRNA-Tyr". Lineage: Eukaryota; Metazoa; Arthropoda; Insecta; Coleoptera. The record is from RNAcentral.
GGUAAAAUGGCUGAGAUUAAGCAGUAAAUUGUAAAUUUACUUACGAAAUUUUUUUUCUUUUAUCA